GUUGAAGACGACGACGUUGAUAGGUCGGGUGUGUAAGCGCAGCGAUGCGUUGAGCUAACCGAUACUAAUGAACCGUGAGGCUUAACCUU
This 89-nucleotide ribosomal RNA is filed under the name Enterobacter hormaechei. RNAcentral's name for it is "partial 23S ribosomal RNA". It matches the Rfam family "Bacterial large subunit ribosomal RNA", at positions 2837 to 2925 of the family's 2925-position model. Lineage: Bacteria; Pseudomonadati; Pseudomonadota; Gammaproteobacteria; Enterobacterales; Enterobacteriaceae. The record is from RNAcentral. RNAcentral also lists the same sequence under 5 other names.